Molecule: ribosomal RNA, 465 nt
Filed under: uncultured bacterium
Lineage: Bacteria
Description: partial 16S ribosomal RNA
Rfam family: Bacterial small subunit ribosomal RNA
Source: RNAcentral
CCUACGGGUGGCAGCAGGAGGGAAUAUUCCACAAUGGGCGAAAGCCUGAUGGAGCAACGCCGCGUGGGUGAAGAAGGUCUUCGGAUCGUAAAACCCUGUUGUUAGAGAAGAAAGAGCGUGAGAGUAACUGUUAACGUUUCGACGGUAUCUAACAAGCAAGCCACGGCUACCUACGUGCCAGCAGCCGCGGUAAUACGUAGGCGGCAAGCGUUAUCCGGAUUUAUUGGGCGUAAAGGGAACGCAGGCGGGCUUUUAAGUCUGAUGUGAAAGCCUGCGGCUUAACCGGAGUAGUGCAUUGGAAACUGGAAGACUUGAGUGCAGAAGAGGAUGGUGGAACUCCAUGUGUAGCGGUGAAAUGCGUAGAUAUAUGGAAGAACACCAGUGGCGAAGGCGGCUCUCUGGUCUGUAACUGACGCUGAGGUUCGAAAGCGUGGGUAGCAAACAGGAUUAGAUACCCUUGUAGUC